Molecule: long non-coding RNA, 1967 nt
Organism: Peromyscus eremicus (cactus mouse)
Lineage: Eukaryota; Metazoa; Chordata; Mammalia; Rodentia; Cricetidae
Exons: 5
Source: RefSeq, a predicted model, not a curated record
UUCUGUUCCUUGUUAAUAGGUUUUCUGUAUCACAAUAAUAGGUUUCUCCUCCAAGGAAGUAAGCGGGAUCAAGCCGAAUUGAAAAAGUAAAAGAACAGGUUUAUUGGAGCAAAGCAACUCCUGGGUGCUGAAAUGGCAGCCUGGAGAGGCCAGAUAACGUGUCCCAAACCAUACAACUAAUGUUGCAAAGCCAGGAUUCAAACUUGGAACAUCGCAUUGCAGAAUAGAAGACAACACUGUGUCCUAAAACAUGUCCUCUAGUGGAUUAGUAGCAUGGCAUUUGACAGUGAACUCUCUGCUACCCAAUGGCCAUUGUUUGGAGCACUGUAAUUAGACACAGCCAGCCUGAAGAAGCAAAACUGAAUUUUACAAACAAAACUUAUUAGAAAUGUGUGUUGUUGGAUUACCUUCACGAUGAAGGAUAAUUGGGACCAGGAUUGCAGAACAUUGCCUGGGGGAGUUCGUUUUUAAGAAAGGAAAUAGGGGGAGGGGUAGCGUUCGCUGAAUUAAUUCCACAGCAACGAACUCUUCUGAGACAAGGUCAGGAGAUGUGGAAGCUUACUUUCUUAAACAGUGUCCACAUUCUUCUCAAGUUUGUAUCGCUUUCGGCUUGUUUAAGUCCUGUGUAGCAGCUCUACCCUGAGCCCCAUCUGGGAGGUCAGUGUUGUGCUAGAUACUGGCGACACAGCUGUGGCAGCUCUACUCUCGGGGACUAGGACCCGUGUAUCAGGAGGCAGACGAAAACAAAUAAUGAAAAAAUUCUUUUUCAAGUGUUGGAGAUUGGGCAAAAGAAGAAGACCUUGAGCAUGAAGGGAACCAGAAUAUUCAAAUUCAAAUCAGAGGGCAAAGUUGGAGUCUCCAGAGAGAACUGGCAGCAGAAGGUGACACAAGAGAUGUCCAGGCAUCAUACCAGGCACAGGGUGUAUACAUAAGAACAGAGUCAGCUACCAGGGUGAGGAGACGGCCAUUUGAACAGAGACACAGAUACAUGACUGAAGGCCAAGAGACAAGAGGUUUGCAAGGCUAGGUAGGGUGAGGGACCAGAAUGGCAGCAAGGAGUGGGGUCUGUGAUGCUUCACUUCGAUUGCAAGCCUGACGGGGCUAAAUGCUCGUCAGCUAGAAAGCACUGUUUCCGGAUGUCUCUGCAAGAGUGUUUCCAAAAGAAGAUAGUGCUACAACCAUCAGGCUUAGUAAAGGAGAUUGCUCUUGUCAGUGUGGGUGGGAAUUGUCUUUGAAUACAGAGGCCCAAACAGAACACAGAAAUAAAGGAAGGGCCAGUCUGUCCUCCCUUCUUGAGCUAGAUCAUCCAUGUUUGUCUUCGCGGGACAUCAGAGCCCCUGGUUUUGAUCCUUGGGGCUCCAACAUUUACACCCCACUCCCUGGUUCUCCCUAGUCUUUCUUCCAGUUUUGUGCUGAACUGUAUCACUGGCCUUCCAGUUGUAAAUCCUGCAGAGGGAAUUUUAAUACUACUUCGUUAACUUUAUCUUUUCGGAUUGGAGGAGGAACAAUGUGAUGUGUGAAGAGCCUCCUAGCCAUCAAAAAGAUACGGCAGGCAUGUGAAGGACAAUUAAGGAAGAGAUUGGCAGAGUUACUAAAUCCAAACUUAGCCUGGGCCAGCAGUAAUGAGCAUUGGCCACAACGACCUGGGGAGGUCACCAGGCAGGUGUGAAAGCAUAUUGUGACAUUCCCAAAGGUCUCUGGAUUCCAUCUUGGUUAUCGCCAUAAUCUGCAUUGGUGGAAAGAAGCAAAUCUCAGCACCCCCCAGGAUGCUUGCAAGUCUGGUUUGAGACCCAACUCCACUCCAUUUUCUUGGUGGACUCUUCUGGGGUCCACUGCCGUUGUCUGUAAAAUCACAGCCAUCAGGAUCCCAGCACAAUGCAGCUGUAUCCUUAGAGAGGUUCUAAUAAAGAAACUGUCACCACUGUGGGCAGGACAGGGCAAACCAGUGAGCAACAGCACACACCAGA